This 614-nucleotide ribosomal RNA is filed under the name Triticum aestivum (bread wheat). RNAcentral describes it as "partial small subunit ribosomal RNA". The record is from RNAcentral. Lineage: Eukaryota; Viridiplantae; Streptophyta; Magnoliopsida; Poales; Poaceae.
AGAGCUAUGUUUUCAAGGCGCCCAGGCGCUUUAAGGCGCUGGGGGGGCGCCUCAACGCCUAGGCGCUCAAAGCGCGAGGCGAGGCGACGCCUUAGACACUUAUUAUUAGGCGGUAGGGGUACUAAUAUGGCGGAGGAGCUUGGCUGGAGAGGGGGAGGACCGGCGGAGAUGGAUCUUGGCCGGAGAGGGGAAGGGCCUGUGGAGGAGGAGCUUGGCCGGACAGGGGGAGGCCGGCGGAGGAGUAGCGGAUCUGGGCCGGCGGCGUGAGAGGAGAGAGCUCCUCUCUCUUUUCCCCUCGAUUUGGAGUCACGGGUGUGUUCCCCUCUCUCUCCUGCCUCUGUUUACCCCCUCUCUCCCGCCCAAUUUCUCUUCCCUCCCGCCAAUUCCUCUUUCUGGCGCGCGCCAGCUGCUGGUUCCCGCUCAACCUGCCCACGCAUGUCCAGGGCGUCCAAAAUCAACUAAAGCGGCGCCUUAUCCGCCUAGGCGACGCCUUGGACGCCUCAACAGCAGAAGGCGGACGCCUUAGACAGAAAACUAAGGCGACGACGACGCCUUGACGUCCCCGAGCGCUCUGACGCCUAAGCGUCGCCUAGGCGACGCCUUGAAAACAUAGG